GACGAACCGUGCAAACGUUAUUCGGAGUCACUGGGCAUAAAGGGCGCGUAGGCGGCUUUCUAAGUCAGGGGUGAAAUCCGGCAGCUCAACUGUCGCAGUGCCUUUGAUACUGGAGAGCUCGAGGGAGGUAGGGGUCUGUGGAACUUCCGGUGGAGCGGUGAAAUGCGUUGAUAUCGGAAGGAACGCCGGUGGCGAAAGCGACGGACUGGAUCUCUUCUGACGCUGAGGCGCGAAAGCCAGGGGAGCAAACAGG
This 253-nucleotide ribosomal RNA is filed under the name uncultured bacterium. RNAcentral describes it as "partial 16S ribosomal RNA". It matches the Rfam family "Bacterial small subunit ribosomal RNA", at positions 524 to 776 of the family's 1533-position model. The record is from RNAcentral.